ACCCAUCAUUAAGAGAGUGGCGAAAGCCUCACCAACCUGCCUAAACCGGGCAAGGUGGUUACGCAAAAGCGGAUGUGACCUUCGGUAACCAAACGGCCAAGC
Molecule: non-coding RNA, 102 nt
Filed under: Polynucleobacter kasalickyi
Lineage: Bacteria; Pseudomonadati; Pseudomonadota; Betaproteobacteria; Burkholderiales; Burkholderiaceae
Also listed under: 1 other name
Description: Polynucleobacter sp. VK13 SAM-I/IV (S-adenosyl methionine) riboswitch aptamer
Rfam family: SAM-I/IV (S-adenosyl methionine) riboswitch aptamer
About the family: It is found upstream of a number of genes which code for proteins involved in methionine or cysteine biosynthesis. It has been found mostly in the order Actinomycetales.
Source: Rfam by way of RNAcentral